This 594-nucleotide long non-coding RNA is filed under the name Laticauda laticaudata (blue-ringed sea krait). RNAcentral's name for it is "lncRNA (ENSLLTG00000016748.1)". The record is from RNAcentral. Lineage: Eukaryota; Metazoa; Chordata; Lepidosauria; Squamata; Elapidae.
UUCCGCUGCAGCCAGCUGCCUGCAAUUUGGCAGAUUGAAUCCCACCAGGCUCAUCCUUCCGAGGGAAGCCUUGGCACGGGUUCCAACUUUUUCUUCACUCUUCCCCCGCUGCCAAGCGGCGUCAACACAAAAUUGCCAUUUUCCCCAGCUCUCUAUGGAGCAAUCUUGAAAAGCAGUAAGGUGUGACGCCGAAGGACUGCCAACUCGGCAGCAGUGCCUGCGGAAAAACCGCAGAAUGGAAGCAGAGAAAUAGGAUGGUGCUAUUCGUCAAACUCCUCCUUUUCAGGAAAGAACAGAAAGAAGUUCAUGCAAAUCAUCAUCCAUUUUAGAUUUGAAGUCUGCCAAUUUGGAAGAAGAAACAUCAACUCAACUUGACUCCUCCAUUACACUGGCAUCUGCAUGUGAACAUUUUGGUAUCUAUUUUUAUAACAAGGCAAACCAAAAAAUCAAUUUUUUUGAAAAUAGAAACACUUAUUAUAGAAAGAUUGAACGCUAAUUGCUGAGAACAACAGUUUAUUUUUGAGCAAACUCUAAUCUUGACAUCUUGUCUUUUUAACUCUUGAUUGUACUUUGGAUUGUUCCCUUGAAUUUGUA